AGAGAAAUCAGAUUGAUGAGAGAGGUCGAGAAUCUUAGAGAGAGAGACCGAGAGCUGAGAGCUCUGCUAGAGUUCCACCCUCAGACCACCACACACACGACGUUCACCGGAGAACAAGGCACACACACGGAUCAGCAGUAAGACUUACUCACAGAGGCACUCAGGUUAUUCUUUACAAGCUUUUUGAUUGUUAGGCAGCAUCAGCUGAUGAUAUCAACUAUUCUGCUAUGACGAAGAGAUGGAUCUAUAUUCACCAUGUGAGGUCUCAUACACACGACAUCAGGGUUCUUUCUGUUGCUGUGACAUUAACCCUGAAAUUAACCCAGAGAAGAGGAUUAAGAGCAGUCGAGGUGCAAGGAAGCCUGCUGAUUUUAGUUACCAUAAGUGGGCUCAUUUGGGGUUCCCAUGCUUAUAUCAGUUGGGGAUGAUACAAAACUUUUUGCAGCACUAUUAAAUUUGGUAAAAAGGAAGAUCCCAUGGGUUGGCCUUGACCCAUAAGAUCUUGGGGCUUUUUAACUUUGGAGCUUUUUUUAAUAAAGGGUUUUUUUGUCCUGUGGGCUUUUUUUGGCCCCAAUCCCGGACUAAGGUCAUGGACUAGGGUCAUGGACUAGGGCUAGGGCCUAUUAUAGGAGUCUAUUUGAUAGGUCUACUACUGCCCUCCAAUCAUCACAUACCCGAGGAAGGACUUUGACAUCUUCGACGUCUUCAUGUCUUCAUUCCUUAUCGAUUGGUCCUUAUCCUUUAAAGUCAUAUUUCCUAAUCCCUUCAUCACCUUUGUGCAAUAACAAAAUAAACAAAUACAACAAACAAGUUAUUUCAAACUUAAAUCAAAACUGUCUUUGUUUCCCAACCACUAUACCACUAAAUUAGGAGCUGCAGUCUCGUCUGUACUCAUCAGAUCGGAAACGCUGGUGGACGACUCUUCGGAAAAAGAAUUCGAGUGCAGUGAGUGGACUGUGUCAAGGACACACUCCACUCGCUGCACUCGAGUUCUUUCUUCGGGGAGUCCUCCACCAGCGUUUCUGAUCUGAUGAGUAUCGAGGAGACUCGAGCUCUUAAUUUAGUAGUAGGUUGGGAAAAAAAAGGGGAUUUUGAUUUAGGUUUGAAAUAAUUUGUUGGUUGUAUUUGUUUAUUUUAUGAUUGCAGGAUCUCACAAAGGUGAUGGAAGGGUUAGAAAAUAUGACUUUAAAGAAUAAAGAUAAAUCGGUAAGGAAUGAAGAUGUCAAAGUCCUUGAUGAUCGUGGGCAGUAGAUAAUGACACGGUUAACGUUGAGAUGGGUAAAAAUUAUAUGAAUAUUGCAUGCAAUUGCGGGAGAAUUCACAAGGUUAUUUUGUUCAACAAGAAACUUUAUUACAAUUUGUUGUAAUAUUGAAGAAUUUAUUGUAAUAUUGUUUGUUUGAAGUUUUGCAUUGCUAUCUUUAAUCUAUAUUCUAUAAUAGUGCAAGAAUUGUCUCA
Vigna radiata var. radiata (mung bean) is the source of this 1456-nucleotide long non-coding RNA. RefSeq lists it as uncharacterized. The transcript has 3 exons. The record is from RefSeq and is a predicted model, not a curated record. NCBI's taxonomy places the organism in Eukaryota, Viridiplantae, Streptophyta, Magnoliopsida, Fabales, Fabaceae.